GAGGUGUGCUCUUCCGAUCAUUUGAUUGACUGCAGAGGUUCGACAGGCAUCUUUAAUCACAGUCAUGAUCACUAUCAACUGAAACUGUUUAGGUUUACGAAGGCACACCAGCUGCCAAAUUUGCCCUUAGAUAAGUAGUGCUUUGUUGAAUAAUCAUCGAAUCAUGAUGGAGGCAGAGAAAAACUUGUUUUCCUCUCCUGCUUCCAAACAGGAACCAUAGUUGUCAUUUAAACCCCCGACACGGGUAGGGUGACACAGGACUUGGUUCUAAUAAAGGAGAUAAAUCAGAGCAGAGACACGAUACUGGGCGUUUACACAUUUUAUUCGAUGUAUGCCAUUGAACACAUCUCACGCACAGGCAUACAUGCUGUUGCAAAGGGAACAGCACUGCAGGGUGGAGUCCAUAUAGCAGGAAUCUUAUAUGAUGUAACCACCGGGGCUAUUUGCUCCAUACUCUGGGCAAAAGAAAGAAGCCCUCCAUUUAACAGAUUCUACUGAACAUGUUGAAAACCUGGUUGAAUUUUGCAUCUUUAACUUCUUAACACCUACCAGGUCACUGGCAACCCAUCUAGAGUUAUGGGUAGGGACUGGUUCUGGUGAAUGGUUCUUCCCUUUUUAUAGAAUUAUUAAAAUUAAAAUCCAAAUGAAAACGGUAAAUGUAAAAGCAACUUGCCUUUUUAGCAUAAAACAAAACCCAUCCCUAACCGUAGGCAGGUCAACUAUGACCCCAUUGAUGUCAAGAGCUUAAAGCAGAUGGAUGUACUAAAAUAUAUUUCUACCUCAUGUUUUGUGUUUUAGUGAUCACUUUUAUUUAAAUACUUCCACAAAUAUUUAAGGCCAUUUCAAGGUUUCCAGUUCUAUGUCUGCAGGGAUCUUCGUUGAAUUGCCCAAUAAGCUACACAAACAUUCAUGUACAACCAACAAUUUAAGACUGGAAUGUCUUUCACCUUUGCCCAGUAGUAUUUAGAUUCCAAUUUUGGGGGCCAUUGGAAUUCUCGAGACAUCCAUCCCCUUCUUGCUAUCUUAGACUUUAACUGGGAUCCCUAUUGAGUUACGUCCAAAUUAUGUUCAGUUCAGGUAAAACCCUUUUCCCAAAUGGAUAAGCAGAAAUUGCUAAUUGUUAUUAUUAUAAUUAUUCUGUCACCAAGUCGUACCUUUUUUCUCCAAGUUCGACUUAUCAUUGACUCUGUUUUAGAGCGGGUCCCUUGGGGAGACCUCCAGAUAUUGGGUCCUUAAAGUCGGUGAUCCCACGUCAGUGCCUCAGGCUAUUUGUUGGGUUCCUAGCACAGUUUCCGAGUAGCUGGGUACACUUUCCUGCUGCGGGAGGCAACUGCCAUUGGGGAAUACCACUUGAAUACCAGGACCCAAGAAAAAUGCUACCUUUUUGUGAAGGAAUUAAUGUUCUUCACUAGACUUGUCAGACAUUUUAACGUUCUGGCUGAUUGGUUUAUGUUUAUGUUAAUAUAAGAGUUCUUGUUAUUGCUGAGAUAAUUGCAAAGCUCUCAUGUCGAAUGGUCAAAAUGAAGAGAAAAUGAAAACAGUGUUAUACCUGACUCAGAUUAAAAUCAAAGUGUUUGCUAGUGUUGUCGUUAAUCCCGUUAUUUUGCACACAAUUUUACAGCAUUUUGCCAUGCAGCCACAGCAGAAUGCUUUUGUGUCAUGUGGCACUAAAACACUUACGGUAUGUUAGAUAUGAAUUAUCUAACUUUAGACAGAAAUGCCAUUUUUAAUUUGGAAUAUUAUUGCAACAUAUGACUAUUGGGAAUUAGGGCAGUGGCUUUAGCAUUAAAGCCGCAGAAUUUCAUGGUGCAGUAAGACUGUUUGGGAGCCCUUUGCUCUGUGGACUUCAAGAAUGGAAAUUUUAGGCUUUCAAAACUCACUGUUGGAGUUUCAAGAAAUUCACAAUCAUCAAAAGACAUUUCUAACUGAAAAAAGGAAGGGGGGGGGCAGCAUUCCUAUUGCAACAUUUUGCAUUGUGACACAUUUCUGUUGGAACUGUGCUAUUAUUGGCUAGCUUAUGGGGACAUGACAUUGUUAUCUUUGGCAGUCAGUUGGCUCUGAGGUAACUCAUUGAUUAUUUAAUGGGCCUUAACAAGACAUUUUUACAACAACUUUAACUUCAGUUCACUGGCUGUAUGUAGGGUUUGACAAAUAUUAGAAACACCUCAAAGCUACAAAGUGCAGCUUUAAAAAUAAACCUAACCACACAGCUGAAGCUGAACGUCUCUGUUCUUUUUAUGUUGUCCACCCACUGCACUAUUCAGUGAAGAAUACUGACUCACUUGACUGCAACAAGUUUUAAAGCACUGAGCUGCUGAGCACCAAGCUGCCUUAGUUUUGCUUGACCUGGAUGAAUUUGGCUCUUGAAGACCAAAAAAUUGGACGGAGAUGGAAAUGUCAUGGGGGUGUGAGGGUGGGGGAGCUGAUGGUAAAGAGGAGGAGAGAUAAAGGAAACGAGACACUGUUACUGCAGCUGCAGAAACUGCGUGUUUUUAUUGGAGUGGACUGUUGCCUAAUGUUAUUCUCACAGUCAGAUGACUGAAGAAAGAGCCCCAGAGCCAUCCUGGUCAUUAUAUUACACCUCAUACUGUGUGCGUCUGUGUGUAGAACAGAUAUGCAUAUCAAAUAGAAAUGUUACCUUUUCCCUUUAGAAUUUUUUUUCAUUUUAUGAUAUAUUGUGUAUACAUAUAUUAAAUAAAAUGUGUUUUGUCAUCUAAAAGUCAACCAUACAGUAUUUUUCUUGUUUUAAACACAUAUUUAUCGCCAGCAUAUAAUCUCUCUGAAAAAAUGAGACCUUUCCACAUUUACUUAGGCCUCUAACAGCCUGUGGAUAGAUUAAUGUGUGAAGGCGUGGGAUGAAUCAAGAGUAGUGAACUUUUUUCUUAAUUUCGAACACCUUGCCUCACUAACACUCUUGGCUCUGCUGUAGCUACAAUGCUGUUAGCUUAAAAAUAAGUAAGUCUAUUUUUUCCGGCAAUAGUAAACUAAUAAAGCUGUUUUCUGAAUAGAAAAUCUUUAUAAAAGGAACUUUCACCUCGAGUAGUUAGCUGCUAUAUCGGACGUUUAUCAACUUGUCCAUGUUAGCAGGUAGACCACCAGUAAAUUGCUUGGCUAUAAUUAUGAGCAUUUAGCUAAUGUUAGCUCGGCUGUUAACAAGGAUAAAUUGCUCCUAAUGUAGUAAAAUAUAAUAUAGUACAUGGACAUCGUUAGGUCCCAAAAGUGAGGGCGAAACCUGUAGUUAAAAAGGGCCUAAGAAGUCUAUGAGUAGAGGUCAUGAAGGUUUCUAACUUGACCUCUGUAAACACUUUGCUAAUAUGUCUGCAGACGCAGUUUGGUAAAUCUCGUUUAUUCUGUGUUUAUAAAAGGAAGCUUAUAUGUGGUAUGCUCAAUAGCUAAUGAUUUAUCUUAUCUUACAAAAUUUGUACAUUUAGCUAAUGAGGAAACAGUAACAUUUUGUUUUUUGAAACCAAGUGAUCUGUGAGAGCACUAAUCACAAGACUUCAAAAUAGGACCUGUGGAUGAUGAUUAUGAGCCAAAUACUACUUUUAAGUAGAGAAAGUCAGUUCACUGAAUGAUUGUAAUUAUAACCAAUAGUUGAUAAAGCCCAGAUAUCUAGUUUUAAUCAAUAAAUGUGAGGAUUGGGAUUGUAAAGGUUCGCUUUUUGCCCCAGAACACGUGUACUUCACUUAAAUGUUGCUGUCUUUUUUUUUGUCUUACUUUAUAAAGUGCCUUGAGGCGACUGUUGUUGUGAAUUGGCACUAUAUUUUAAAAAUAAAAAAAUUGAAUUGAAUUGAAUAUUUAUGUCCUCCCAAUGUGAUUAAUACAGCUACUCAUGAAAUAAUCAAGAGGUGAAAAUUCUGCCCUUUCAACCUUCACUAUAUUUAUAUAUAUAUAUAUUUUUAUCUUCACUUGCUACUUUUUUGUUUUCAUCUUUUUCUUUUCAAACCAUUGCCACUGUUUUAAACAAAGCAUCUUUAGGUCUUUUGUGUGCUUCUGUUUAACAUAAUCCCGGUGUCUGUUGCCGUGGUUACACUUUCUUAAUGUGCCAUUGAUGUGACUGUAUGUAUUAAAAGCACCGCUGACUCCUGGCAAAACUUUAAAUGUGCCUCUCUACCUCUCCCUUCCUCCCUCUCUCUCCCUCCUCCCGUCUCCCUCUCUCAGCUCUGUGACAGUCAUGUUUUCUUUGUGUGUCAAACAGAGAGCACUUGUCUGUGCCACUUUGUUACUGAGAGGAUAUAACUGAUAGUGGGUUAUUUUUGGAUCGCAAGUGAUACGAGCUGAUAUCUUUUGCCAUUGAGGAAGCCUUUGAAAAGCAAUGUUGGCAUCGUGAAUUAGAAUUAGAAUCAAAUCAGGGCGUUAUUUAAAUGUUAAUCAAAUCAGCACUGAAUAUGUAAUCAAAAGUAGAUUUAUUGUUGUAAUUCUCCUGCUGCUAUUAGUCUUGUCUGUGUCAUAUCUUGUGGCCAUGCACACUGAAUGCGAAGGCAAUGAGCUCCACCACAGUAACAUUAUGACAGCAUUUCAUCUCCUCCCCUCGACACUGCGCUUUGGAAGAUGACGGUAAUUUGGAUGAGAUGUUUCAAGGCCCUGGGUUCUUCUCCCCCCUCGCUCGCUGACAGUCCCCAGUGCGCUGCAACAUUAAAGCAAGACUGGAGCAUGAACGUAUGGCCGGCUAUUAAAUGGCAAUCACACACAGAAGAGCUCUUUUAUAGACGAACACAUUUCUGCUUAAUAGCUCUCGGAGCAGAGUCGUCCAAAUAUGACAUUUCAAAUGAAAGCCCUCUGAACGCCAGCUUCUAUUAAAAUCUUUGCUGAAAUUUUUCAAUUUGUCAGUUUUUAUGUGAUGUGGGCCAGAAUGAAAUCUGGAUUGCAACCAAAAAUUCCCAGUUUAGUUAUGCGAUCAUGGUUUCAGAGGUGUCUGACUCACUCUAAUAGUGUCAUGCACAGUUAACUUGCUGCUGCUUCACGUUGAGGCCAUUCGCGACACCAGCUUAGCCCAGAAGCAGUGAUCAAAUCUGGGGAACCUUCUGAGCCUCUGAAUUCUGAGAUUACUGGAACCUCUCGCCCCCUAAUGGCUGCUUGAGGGUGAAGUUCAUGUCAUCAGUGGGCCCUGCACUCGCUCUUGGGAGUCCUGUUCCACCCUGCCCCAUUAAUUUCAAGUGCUACUCAUAUCCUUGGCCCCCUUACUUUCCAUUUCUCAGCCCCCUCCCUCCUUCCAUCAUCACCUUGGUGCGCCCAGCCCAAUCUCGCUGCUCUCCUGGCUCAUUUUGAGCUGUAAUUGGACAGGAGUCCCAGGGGAUGUUCGUCAGCACGCCCCAGUGCCCUGUGUCCCAUCUCCAGAGUAGAAACGCACCCGGCCAUGGUCGAUAAGCCGUGUUCCCCCCACCAUCAGUCCAACGUUCCCUACUCUGCUAACUUUCAAUAGGCAAAAUGACUGGGCAUCACUUCAAAACAGAGUCCAAAAUAGACCCACAAAAAAUAGCAACAAAACCUAAUCUGCCCAUUUUUUCUCACCGAAGGAAUAAUCAUACCGCACACACCGCAAAGGCAUUUCUGUCGUGUUUAAUCCUGUCUGUCUGUAACUGAAACCUUAAAGAUUAUCCCUUAAAAACAAGUUGGUAAAUGUGUAGUGGAAAUGUUUCACUGCAAGUGGUUAAAGAUGACCUAGUAUGCCUUUGAAUGCCAUACAUCUCAGACUAAUCCUGUACCAAGUCCCCUCUUGUCCCCUUUAAGCAUGUUGUCCUUUCUUUGGCUGCCCCUGCCAAACAGAAGGUUUGUAUAGUAGGCGGGCGGGGCUUAGAGGUUUAGAUGUUUAUGGACGGAUCAUUUUUCCUUUUAGUUUUCUUUAAGCAAAGACCACUCUUGAAUUUUAGCUGAGAAAAUUAUGACAAAAUGUUUUGGCAAAUAUUUUUAGUAUCUGAUAAUGUGUAAGAUGAGAUCCUAAAACACCUUAUAACGUUCGUUCCUUCAUCAGGCGUGAAAAUCAUUCUGCGGCCUUUCGCACCAUACUCGAGCGAACACAGUUGUAUAUCUUUUGGUGUUGUGUUUGGCUCUGCCCCUGUGCCAGCUUUCCCUCGAGCAGCAUUUGUGCUGGUAAUCUGUCAUAUGAGCCCGUCUCAUCAGAGGCACAGGAACAUUUGGAGCUGCAAACAGAGAGCCUGGAUAACACCCUAAAAGCUUCCUCCUUCCCUCUUAUUGCCCACAGCUCAAUCCCAACUAUCUCAAAUCUCUCUCCUUAUCGCCUCUCCUUUAUUGCCAAAGCUUGACGGGCACUUGACAGUUUAGAAAAAUACCCCAAAUUGGGCCUGACCUGAGUGCUGGUUGGCCACCAGUGUAUACCUGCAGCUCCCCCCAGAGGCUGGCUCGCUCAGGUUGAAAAAAAAUAAUUCAGUGACUGUAAUUUCUGAAUUUCUUCUUGAUGAUAAAGUUAUUUUCUUUGUCUGUGGCCAUCUGUUCAUGCUGCAGAGCUCUCAGACAGUCUCAAAACAUCCAGUUUUAUGUAAUCAUUCUCACUGCCUGACCUGUCCUCUCACCAGCUCUCCAACAAUUACCGCUGAAUGCCUGGUGUGUGUGUGUGUGUGUGUGUGUGUGUGUGUGUGUGUGUGUGUGUGUGUGUGUGUGUGUAUUUGCCUGUUGCCAAGUAAAAAAGAGAAGAAAGCAAGCAGUGGGAGUGUGUGUUGGGGCUGUAUUGGCAUUCGCCAACCAGCUGAUGAAAGCGGCGGCUCCGUUAAUAAUUGAAAGAGUACUUAACGACAGGAGCGCUGCCCUCGCAAGACAGCUUUUAAUAACCAGGAAGGUUUCAUAUUUCUGGUUCUCCUCUUUUUCAUCUCUGCUUCGUCCCCACCACUGCCGCUACCCCUCACCUCCUGCCUGCUCUUCUUCUUCUUCUUUAGAAGCUUUUUCAGCUCUAUUGAGGAGCAAAGGAUUGCUGCUGAAGAAGCAUCUGUCGGCCUUUUAAAAACAUAGCAGAAGAAAAGGUGUAUGUGUCUACAUGUGUGCAUUUACUCAAUUAAAGUGGGGAACAUUGUGCUGGAAUGGAUAGUGUGCCGUGCCUAUAGACAGGGAAGUCUAUUUAUUAUGUCUCCCACAUUAUCCCUCUGUCCCUGCUGUCUAGUUGAGAGAUAUGUAUUUGUUUAUGGAAGCGCUCCGUCUCUACUCUUAAUGUGCUCACCGCUCACCCUCAUUAAUUCGCUUGAUGGUCUUUGAUUUGCCGGGCAUCACUAAGUCGCAUUAAGAAAUGUAUUUCCCAGCUCUUACUUAACGACGCUUCCAGAACCAACGCAAUUAAAUGCACAUUUAAAUGCUUGAGGUUUCCCUCUAAAUUCAUGAGCAGAGACAGGCGCUUGAUUAGCACCCCACAGAAAAUUAAGCAGCAAGGGAAAGGUGAUGCUGAGGUUUUUGGUAAAUGGCACUUUCUUUAGUGUGCUUUCCUUUUGAAAGCAUGGCACUCAUCCUGUUAUAGUAAGCUAAUAAAGCAUUUCCAAUCAUGUUUUAAUCAGAAAACAUAGCGCCAACAGGUGGUGCUAAAUAUGACUUCUAGUUACUCUUGCUUUGAAAAGAAAUCACUUAUGCCGUGGCAUUUUUGCAUAUGCUUAUUGAACAUGGCACACAUAAAUAAUACAAACAGAUUUCCCCAUGUACCCCAAGUAAAGUCUAGUCAUACCACAUGCAAUAGUAACAAUCACGUGUAUUUAUUUGGAGCUUUUCAGAACAAGCAUCAAAAUGAUUCCAUAUACAAUUAAAAGAUGAGCAACAAUUCUGGCAGGUUGUCAUACAAUUAGCCACUUUUAAGACAUGAAGCCAGGUUUAAGGCUCCUUGUUAUUUUAAGGAAUAACAAGGAGUCACCAGCAUAAAGAGUGGAUAGCCUACAAUCCUUAAAAGUGACAAUUAAACUUACAAUUCUAAUUUAGAUUCAGUUUUAAAAACAGUAAAUCCUUUCUCUUCUAUUUGGUUUGUUGUUUUUGUUGAGCAAGGUAAGAAAAAAAUUUUUUUAAUAAUAUAAAAUAAUAGAAAUUAUCGUGUAAAACACUGAAAUUACGUAUAUUACAGAAAUUACAUAUAUAAUAUGUGUACUGAUUUUAAAAGGAACAGCAGCAUUACGUUACAUGUACGUGGAUGAUGUUGUUGUUUGUAAAUACAAUUUACUAAACAGUUUUUACAGCGUUGCUACUUUGGUCUAACUGGAAUGUGUUGUCAUGCAUAUGCAUAAUGAUGCUCAUAGUGCCUGUAAUUGAUUACUUUGUCUUAUAAAAUGAAAAUGUAGCUCCCAAAGAACAAAAAUACGAGUUAGUGAAUUAGUGAACCUAGCAAGUGCUGCUGGCUAGUAAAAUUAAAAAACAUGCUUGAAAAAUAUCUGAAAACUGAGGUUUUCUUCAACAAAAACACAGAUAAGAGGAGACGAGGACGUCCCGAGAUGAGUUCUGACCACUGAUAAUACUAUUUUUCUCGAUUUAAUAGGGAAAUGUGAUCCCUUCCACUUAUCAGCAAUGGUCAUGGUGUCAGAGAAGAAAUAUAAAUGUGUAUCAUCAGCAUAGAAAUUGUAACUAGCACGGUGGGGUUUUUUAAUACCAAGUGGUGGCAUAAAGAUAGAGACGUCUAGUACUCUGUGGCCAUCCUUUAGUGAUCCCUUCUAAUGUCCACACAGAUUGAGCUUUCCAAAAGAUUAAAUAGAGCCUAUCUAAAGCGAAAUUUGAAAUACCUGCCACUCUCUAAUAUUUUAAAAUGAGUGUAUUAUCAUCAAAAAUGCUCAGAAUCACAGACAGUUACAACAUUAAUAAUAAAUUACGUGUAGGACACAGUUGCUGUGAUCUUAACUCCAACCCACAUUUCUUAGACCACCAGCAUUCAAAAAGGAAAUGAAGCUAUUUUUACAGGAAGUAACUCCAUUAGAAACUGCUGUCACGGUAUCCGGAGUAAUUGGGGCACUGUUUAUUUCCAAUGUUUUAUUUGUUUGUAACAAUUUUGUAAAAAUCAGAACCACUAAAAUUGCUAAUAGAUUCUAGCAAAAGAAGUCUCUUUGUCUUUGUCAAUUAGGAUGACUUAUUAACUGUUGUUAACUGUACUUAGUGACUCAUCACUAGUCAGCUCUAGUUUUGUCUGCUGACACUGGCACACAACUAGGGAAUAAUGUUCUCUAACAGAGAACUAUUAGAGAGUAAUUAUUUAGCAGCAUGUGAAGGAUCAGCUACAUAGUCAAUUUAUAUAAUCAGCUUGUUGGAUUGAAGAGAAAUUAAGCAGCAAAAAAGACCUGAGUGACUCUGAAAAGGGCUAAAUGGUUAAGGCCAGAGUUGCUCCACCAAAUAACAAGGCAAACCAUGAGUUGAUGAGAGGGCGUUGGUGAAAAUAAUGGAACAAGUCUGAUUAGGAUUUUUAGAAAACCUGAUCAGUGUAGUGCUCUUUACCACAGUACAUUCUGUGGAGUUCACGCACUCACUUCAAACUCUGUUAUCCCCCUUUUUGGCAGAAAUCUGAGAAAUACAGAUGCAUUGAAGAAAAUUAAGAACUGGAUGGCAUUAGCUAGAAAACAUGUUUGAAACUAAGCUUGACUUUUCUUUAGCUCAGGAAGUUGCUCAUCAGCGAAUGGCCUUUUAAAGUGAUGUGUUGCCAUUAUACUUGGUGACAGUUGUAAAAGACGUGUAAUGAUCACUCCCCUGUAAGUAUACAUGAAUGAAUAACUCAGUGUACGUAUAGACAUUGUUAACACACUUUAUCAAUUCAUUCCUCAAUUUGUGCUCGCUCAUCUAAUUUGCAUGUACCCAUACCUCUUGAGCUCUGCAGCUGAAUGGGCCUAAUUGAAUAGUUGAUCACAUAUUAAUCUAAUUAGUCUGGUUCAGUCGUGGUCAUUGUGUGCUGAAUUCAUUUCUUCUGUCUUGUUAUUGUGUUCUCUCAGGCCAGAGCCUGUCAUUGGCCCCAGAUGGUUUACUAUAGCUAGCCGCCGCUGAUUUAACUGAGAGCUUCUCCCUUUGUCUCCGGAUCAGACCUCCAUACUGCACUCUGAUCACAGUGAUGACAGAGAGGCAGACAGAGAGAGAGUGGAAACAAGGGAUCAAGAGGGAGUGUAAAAAAUGUUUGGGAGAAAAAAAAAAAGAAAGAGGCAAAGAAGGAUACCACCAUUACUGUUGAGGGUGAUCAUCGCCAUAGCCCAGUUUUCCAUGAAAAGGCAACAAGUGGAGCCUAAUGGGAAAUAUGCAGAUGUAUGCAAAUAUGUUGGAUGGGUCGCCCAGAGGCCCACUGGGAGAUUAAAGCUCUUCGGGAUGGAGAGGGCUGUGGAGAAGACUAGCACUAUGAGCUCAGUGCAGCAGCAUUAAACAGGGAAACAUGACAUGAACCAAUUUUAGGCCUUGUUUUCAAGCUCAUCGCCAUUAAUCUCACAAACAGACUCGUGCUGAUGGCAGCACUCUACCGUGAUCUGUCAGCCUGAAUUGGCAUCCGGUGAUCUGAUCCACGAUGGACAUCUUUAACUUGAUAGUAGCUCUGCAAAGAUAAAAACCUGGCUCUUUCAUUGUUUUUACAGUUACAGUUUUGAAUGUGGUUACUUUUCUCCGUCGUGCCUUGGUCUUCCAGGUAGAUUUGAUGGAUGAGAUCCCAGGGCUGCUAUUUCACACUCUUUCACAGGUUGAUCGGCUCAAAAUGACUGUAGCAGUAGGAGAAUGAGACUUAGAGGAGAGGUACAGGCACUUAGGACUUUACCCUCAAGCUCUCCACCAUUCACGCUCCACUUCCACAUUUGAUCCACGGCAGUCUCUCAACCUGAGUCCGCAGCAGCUGGGAUGGAAGUGUUGCUGAGAGUUACAGAUGUUGAACAGACUGAGCAACAGAAUAAAUGGAUGAAGGCAUUCAGGGUUACAGUAACCCUGAAUGCCUUCCCUGGAAAUAGAGAAGUUAAUUUGUCUUGACAAUGCUAUGAGGUAACAGCAAGAUUUCUUCUUUAGGCUUGGAUGAAUUUGAAGCACUACUGAAUCGUGAAUACAAAACAUGUUCUACAGCCUUACACAAUACCUGGUUCGACAAUGUAAUACAGUUCAACCAACAAAUUCAUUCAUGUACCAAAGUUAAACUCUGGUGUAUUGUUAACCUGGGCAUACGAUGCACUUUUAGUUUGUAUAACCAUAAAACACUCUAUGGCAGUUUUGAGUAAUUUUAAAUAUAGCCUAACUAAUAGAUCCACUCACUGAUAUUGGCCUUUUGCGGAUAUAUCAGUGUCAGCACAUAUGGUGUCUGAAUUUUGCUGAUACGCAUUAGCAUUUAGCAUUUUUGAUAUCAUUCACUUUGCCCAAUAGGAGUCAUAGUUAUAUCUAUAGUAUGUAUAGAAGAGGAGGAUCACAGGUGAGCAUCAUAAGCCUAACACCAAAGCCAGCACUUCUACAAAAAAGGGGGUAAAAAUUAGUGAUGAUUUGUACAAACAUUGGCACUGCGUGUGCUCAUGCUAACUUAUAUCUCAUAGCACAUAUCUGCCUUAUAUAAGACAAAUUCCUAAGGAUACGGCUGCUCCGUUUCUCACCAUCUGUGAGAUUUCCACUAUUUGGCAGCCUUCAGCUUUUUGAUAUAAUGUUAUGACUAAAGCAUUGAAUGUGCCAGGUCUAUACGUGACCUCUCUGUUCUAAAGCAGGCCUGCAAUAGCAGGUGUUAAGUCUCAAAUGUUCACAUCCGCCCAGGCAUAUUUAGCAGCAUCAUAAAUCUACAGUUUACUGUUAAACAUGCCAUCGUUGCACUAGGAGUGCCUAUAAAUCAAUGUUUACAACCCCAGCCUCCCCGAGCUUGUGAAAGGCAUGCUCUGGUAAGAUUUUUCCCUUCUUCUUUUUCCCUUUUUUUGAAAUAUUUAACUGUACAACGUUUUGGUCCUGAGAGCUUAAUCAAGUAUUAUAUUCAAGACAAGAAGAAAGAUCAUGAAGUGCUUGGGUUACCAUGGGUCAAUUGGAGCUCUCAGAGCUUCUUUCUCUUGAACCCUAUUAGAGCGGAGCAGGGACGAUGCCCUGCUUAAUCCCUGCCUCGUGUUGGUUGUUAGCCUGGCAGUUUUAGCUUAAUACAUUCAUACUAAGAAAGCUGCACAGGCCUUAUGCAUUGGGUUUCCUGCUGUUUAAAUCUUUAGCAGA
This is a long non-coding RNA of Haplochromis burtoni (Burton's mouthbrooder), 12090 nucleotides long. RefSeq lists it as uncharacterized. The record is from RefSeq and is a predicted model, not a curated record. NCBI's taxonomy places the organism in Eukaryota, Metazoa, Chordata, Actinopteri, Cichliformes, Cichlidae. The transcript is spliced from 3 exons.